Molecule: ribosomal RNA, 252 nt
Filed under: uncultured bacterium
Lineage: Bacteria
Description: partial 16S ribosomal RNA
Rfam family: Bacterial small subunit ribosomal RNA
Source: RNAcentral
UACAGAGGUCCCAAGCGUUGUUCGGAUUUAUUGGGCGUAAGGGUGGGUAGGUGGCGCCGUAAGUCGGGUGUGAAAUCUCGGGGCUCAACUCCGAAACUGCAUUCGAUACUGCGGUGCUUGAGGACUGGAGAGGAGACUGGAAUUCAUGGUGUAGCAGUGAAAUGCGUAGAGAUCAUGAGGAAGACCAGUGGCGAAGGCGGGUCUCUGGACAGUUCCUGACACUGAGACACGAAGGCCAGGGGAGCAAACGGG